RNAcentral lists this ribosomal RNA (405 nucleotides) under uncultured bacterium. RNAcentral's name for it is "partial 16S ribosomal RNA". It matches the Rfam family "Bacterial small subunit ribosomal RNA", at positions 28 to 526 of the family's 1533-position model. The record is from RNAcentral.
GACGAACGCUGGCGGCGUGCUUAACACAUGCAAGUCGAGCGGAGCGGCGAACGGGUGAGUAAAGCGUGAGUAACUGCCCCCCUCUCUGGGAUAACAUGUGGAAACGGCUGCUAAUACCGGAUAGUGGGGGGUGAAUCGCGGCGUAUCAGCUGGUUGGUGGGGUAGUGGCCUACCAAGGCGACGACGGGUAGCCGGUCUGAGGGGGCGACCGGCCACAUUGGGCUGAGAGACGGCCCAAACUCCUACGGGAGGCAGCAGUGGGGAAUAUUGCACAAUGGGGGAAGCCCUGAUGCAGAAGCGCCGCGUGCGGGAUGACGGCUUUCGGGUUGUAAACCGCUUUCAGCCAUGACGCGGUAGUGGCAGAAGAAGCACCUGCUAACUACGUGCCAGCAGCCGCGGUAAUAC